RNAcentral lists this ribosomal RNA (253 nucleotides) under uncultured bacterium. Its description in RNAcentral is "partial 16S ribosomal RNA". It matches the Rfam family "Bacterial small subunit ribosomal RNA", at positions 524 to 776 of the family's 1533-position model. The record is from RNAcentral.
UACGGAAGGUGCAAGCGUUGUUCGGAUUGACUGGGCGUAAAGAGCACGUAGGCGGGUUUGUAAGUCGAUUGUGAAAGCCCUGGGCUUAACCUGGGAACGGCAAUCGAAACUGCAAAUCUUGAAUACCUGAGGGGUUAGUAGAAUUCCUGGUGUAGGAGUGAAAUCCGUAGAUAUCAGGAGGAAUACCGGCGGCGAAGGCGGCUAACUGGCAGAGUAUUGACGCUGAGGUGCGAAAGCGUGGGGAGCAAACAGG